AUGGUGAUAAAAACCAAUUAUGGAAGAUCCGAUUGAAGAUUUUCGGGUCAAAAUCAAAUAAAAAAUCCGACCCAAUUGAAUUCCUUAAAAUGUACUUCAAAAAUGUUAAGUAGAUUUUAUCCAAUUUUGAACGUGGGGUGAAAAGUGAAAUUGAUGUUACGGUAUAUAGUAGAAUUAGUAGUGGUUGGUUUGACGGCUUAUUAAAUCAUGUAUGAUCACUGUAUAUUCAUAAAUAAAAUCUAGUAUUUACAGGUUUAAAAAUCUUCUUAUUAUUAAAAGGGAAGUACAAAUUGAAUUUUUGUCUAAUUUGACCUCAAUUUUGAUUUCAAUUUUGGAUUUUGUUCUUUGCUCUUCAAAAUCAUUAAGGGUAAUUUGGUCUUAACAAUCUCCUAAACUUUAUAUGAUCCGAUUCAAUCUAAACCGUUCAAUAAAGUAAUUCCCUUCAAUCUAAACCGUUCAACAAAAAUAAGUAAAUAACAACCAAAAAAAAUUAAAAACAUUUUAACACAUUCCUCUUAUCACUAAAUAAGUCCAAAAAACAAAUCCCAAUUAUUAUUUCGUU
This 562-nucleotide small RNA is filed under the name Arabidopsis thaliana (thale cress). Its description in RNAcentral is "ATSL277650". Lineage: Eukaryota; Viridiplantae; Streptophyta; Magnoliopsida; Brassicales; Brassicaceae. The record is from RNAcentral.